RNAcentral lists this ribosomal RNA (799 nucleotides) under uncultured bacterium. RNAcentral's name for it is "bacterial SSU rRNA". It matches the Rfam family "Bacterial small subunit ribosomal RNA", at positions 8 to 796 of the family's 1533-position model. The record is from RNAcentral.
AGAGUUUGAUCCUGGCUCAGAUUGAACGCUGGCGGCAGGCCUAACACAUGCAAGUCGAGCGGAAACGAGAAGUAGCUUGCUACUUCGGCGUCGAGCGGCGGACGGGUGAGUAAUGCAUAGGAAGUUGCCCAGUAGAGGGGGAUAACCAUUGGAAACGAUGGCUAAUACCGCAUAACCUCUUCGGAGCAAAGCGGGGGACCUUCGGGCCUCGCGCUACUGGAUACGCCUAUGUGGGAUUAGUUAGUUGGUGAGGUAAUGGCUCACCAAGGCGACGAUCCCUAGCUGGUCUGAGAGGAUGAUCAGCCACACUGGGACUGAGACACGGCCCAGACUCCUACGGGAGGCAGCAGUGGGGAAUAUUGCACAAUGGGCGAAAGCCUGAUGCAGCCAUGCCGCGUGUAUGAAGAAGGCCUUCGGGUUGUAAAGUACUUUCAGUUGUGAGGAAGGUUUCGUAGUUAAUAGCUGCGUUGCUUGACGUUAGCAACAGAAGAAGCACCGGCUAACUCCGUGCCAGCAGCCGCGGUAAUACGGAGGGUGCGAGCGUUAAUCGGAAUUACUGGGCGUAAAGCGCAUGCAGGUGGUUUGUUAAGUCAGAUGUGAAAGCCCGGGGCUCAACCUCGGAAGGUCAUUUGAAACUGGCAAACUAGAGUACUGUAGAGGGGGGUAGAAUUUCAGGUGUAGCGGUGAAAUGCGUAGAGAUCUGAAGGAAUACCAGUGGCGAAGGCGGCCCCCUGGACAGAUACUGACACUCAGAUGCGAAAGCGUGGGGAGCAAACAGGAUUAGAUACCCUGGUAGUCC